GUUGCUGGCUGCUACUUUGCAUUUGUACAAACCCUAAGAUUAUCAAAGUGUUCGUACCACUCUUCUCACAAGUCAGGAGAAGAAUCUGACUCAUGUGCGGAUGGGAAUCCCCCAUGUGAAAAUAUCAGGUUCGAGUCAGAAACUAGCGGAGGUAAUACACAGGAAAGGCCCCACCAUAUAGAAUCCAUCCCAAUGGGAGAG
RNAcentral lists this long non-coding RNA (201 nucleotides) under Elaeis guineensis (African oil palm). RNAcentral describes it as "long non-coding RNA (EGUI_LNC010913)". Lineage: Eukaryota; Viridiplantae; Streptophyta; Magnoliopsida; Arecales; Arecaceae. The record is from RNAcentral.